This 329-nucleotide unclassified non-coding RNA is filed under the name soil metagenome. RNAcentral's name for it is "partial contains 5.8S ribosomal RNA, internal transcribed spacer 2, and large subunit ribosomal RNA". The stretch from base 1 to 120 matches the Rfam family "5.8S ribosomal RNA", at positions 35 to 154 of the family's 154-position model. The record is from RNAcentral.
GAUGAAGAACGCAGCGAAAUGCGAUAAGUAAUGUGAAUUGCAGAAUUCAGUGAAUCAUCGAAUCUUUGAACGCACAUUGCGCCCCUUGGUAUUCCGAGGGGCAUGCCUGUUCGAGCGUCAUUAUAACCCCUCAAGCUCAGCUUGGUGUUGGGGCCUGCUGCACUGGCAGCCCUUAAAAUCAGUGGCGGCGCCAUCUGGCUCUAGGCGUAGUAAUUCUUCUCGCUAUGGAGUCCUGGUGGAUGCUUGCCAUCAACCCCCAAUUUUUCUAUGGUUGACCUCGGAUCAGGUAGGGAUACCCGCUGAACUUAAGCAUAUCAAUAAGCGGAGGA